This 421-nucleotide ribosomal RNA is filed under the name Bacillus safensis. RNAcentral's name for it is "bacterial SSU rRNA". It matches the Rfam family "Bacterial small subunit ribosomal RNA", at positions 92 to 499 of the family's 1533-position model. The record is from RNAcentral. Lineage: Bacteria; Bacillati; Bacillota; Bacilli; Caryophanales; Bacillaceae.
UUAGCGGCGGACGGGUGAGUAACACGUGGGUAACCUGCCUGUAAGACUGGGAUAACUCCGGGAAACCGGAGCUAAUACCGGAUAGUUCCUUGAACCGCAUGGUUCAAGGAUGAAAGACGGUUUCGGCUGUCACUUACAGAUGGACCCGCGGCGCAUUAGCUAGUUGGUGGGGUAAUGGCUCACCAAGGCGACGAUGCGUAGCCGACCUGAGAGGGUGAUCGGCCACACUGGGACUGAGACACGGCCCAGACUCCUACGGGAGGCAGCAGUAGGGAAUCUUCCGCAAUGGACGAAAGUCUGACGGAGCAACGCCGCGUGAGUGAUGAAGGUUUUCGGAUCGUAAAGCUCUGUUGUUAGGGAAGAACAAGUGCGAGAGUAACUGCUCGCACCUUGACGGUACCUAACCAGAAAGCCACGGCUA